AAAGAUCGUAGUUUUACACUGUUUAUAUAAAAUGUUUGACCUUUUAUUUUAUUUAAAUUUUUUUAUGAUUAGUAUUUUUAUUGUUAUUAUAUGAUAAAACAUGAAUAGUUAUGUAUGACUAAUUUUUUUAAUGUUUUUUCAUAUUUUUUUUAAAAUAAGACUGAUGUUUAAACGUUAGAUACGAAAACCUAUAACUGCACUUAAA
This 205-nucleotide microRNA precursor is filed under the name Oryza rufipogon (brownbeard rice). RNAcentral's name for it is "MIR812 microRNA precursor family". It matches the Rfam family "MIR812 microRNA precursor family". The record is from Rfam by way of RNAcentral. Lineage: Eukaryota; Viridiplantae; Streptophyta; Magnoliopsida; Poales; Poaceae.